GACGAACGCUGGCGGCGUGCUUAACACAUGCAAGUCGAACGGACCGAGUUGAUAGCUUGCUAUUGAUGAGGUUAGUGGCAAACGGGUGAGUAACGCGUAGGCAACCUGCCCUUCAGAUGGGGGACAACACCUCGAAAGGGGUGCUAAUACCGAAUGAUGUUUCCUGGUCGCAUGACCUGGAAACCAAAGGCCGGGCAACCGGUCACUGAAGGAUGGGCCUGCGUCUGAUUAGCUAGUUGGUGGGGGUUAACGGGCCCACCAAGGCGACGAUCAGUAGCCGGUCUGAGAGGAUGAACGGCCACAUUGGGACUGAGGCACGGCCCAAACUCCUACGGGAGGCAGCAGUGGGGAAUCUUCCGCAAUGGGCGCAAGCCUGACGGAGCAACGCCGCGUGAGUGAAGAAGGUUUCGGAUCGUAAAGCGUCUGUUGAGAGGGACGAGAGAUAUAAUCAGGAAAUGGGUUAUAGAGGACGGUACC
RNAcentral lists this ribosomal RNA (477 nucleotides) under uncultured bacterium. Its description in RNAcentral is "bacterial SSU rRNA". It matches the Rfam family "Bacterial small subunit ribosomal RNA", at positions 28 to 479 of the family's 1533-position model. The record is from RNAcentral.